This 243-nucleotide unclassified non-coding RNA is filed under the name uncultured fungus. RNAcentral's name for it is "sequence contains ITS2". The record is from RNAcentral. Lineage: Eukaryota; Fungi.
AACGCACAUUGCGCCCCUUGGUAUUCCGGGGGGCAUGCCUGUUCGAGCGUCAUUUCAACCCUCAAGCUCUGCUUGGUCUUGGGCACUGCUGGAAACAGCUUGCCUCAAAAUCAGUGGCGGUGCCAUUCGAGCUCUACGCGUAGUAAUAAACCCCUCGCGACUGAGCUUGAUGGAUGCUUGCCAGCAACCCUCAAUUUUGUUAAGGUUGACCUCGGAUCAGGUAGGGAUACCCGCUGAACUUAA